AGCUGGGAGAGCAUCUGCCUUACAAGCAGAGGGUCGGCGGUUCGAACCCGUCAUCCUCCA
RNAcentral lists this transfer RNA (60 nucleotides) under Bhargavaea beijingensis. RNAcentral's name for it is "tRNA_Val_TAC". It matches the Rfam family "tRNA", at positions 14 to 71 of the family's 71-position model. Rfam says of the family: Transfer RNA (tRNA) molecules are approximately 80 nucleotides in length. Their secondary structure includes four short double-helical elements and three loops (D, anti-codon, and T loops). The record is from RNAcentral. Lineage: Bacteria; Bacillati; Bacillota; Bacilli; Caryophanales; Caryophanaceae.